RNAcentral lists this unclassified non-coding RNA (421 nucleotides) under soil metagenome. Its description in RNAcentral is "partial contains 5.8S ribosomal RNA, internal transcribed spacer 2, and large subunit ribosomal RNA". The stretch from base 1 to 120 matches the Rfam family "5.8S ribosomal RNA", at positions 35 to 154 of the family's 154-position model. The record is from RNAcentral.
GAUGAAGAACGCAGCGAAAUGCGAUACGUAAUGUGAAUUGCAGAAUUCAGUGAAUCAUCGAAUCUUUGAACGCAUAUUGCGCUCUUUGGUAUUCCGAAGAGCAUGCUUGUUUGAGUAUCAGUAAACACCUCAACCUCUUCUUGAUUUUUCAAAAGGAGGAUGGACUUGAGCUAUCCCAACAACCUUUACCGGUCGGCGGGCGGCUUGAAAUGCAGGUGCAGCUGGACUUUUAUCUGAGCUAAAAGCAUAUCUAUUUAGUCCUCGUCAAACAGGAUUAUUACUUUUGCUGCAGCUAACAUAAAGGAUAAUUGUCCUCUUUGCUGACUGAUGCAGGAUUUUACGACACUUUAUGUGUUGUUCAACUCGAUCUCAAAUCAAGUAAGACUACCCGCUGAACUUAAGCAUAUCAAUAAGCGGAGGA